RNAcentral lists this long non-coding RNA (5565 nucleotides) under Sus scrofa (pig). RNAcentral's name for it is "lncRNA (ENSSSCG00000059816.1)". Lineage: Eukaryota; Metazoa; Chordata; Mammalia; Artiodactyla; Suidae. The record is from RNAcentral.
AGGGACAAGGCUUUCAUCAGUCAUCCCUGGUGGACCCUCCCAAGAAAACCCUAAGGGGUUCCAAGAGCCUCUCAUUGGGGAAGUGUCCACAGUUGGGAGGGUGACGCACCCCGAACUCCACAGAGACUGAAGCUCCUGGAUCCCACCUCUCGCACACCUGGCCCCUACUUCCUCAUCUGCCUGUACAUCCCUUUAGGAUCCACAGGUAAGUCACGCAUUUCCUUAGUUCUGUGACAAGGGGGCCGUGGGGACCCUCCCUCUGUAGCCGCAUUGGACGGAAGUGUGGGAGACCUGGCCCCCCUUUGCGAUUGGUGGUGAAGUGCCGUUCGUCCUGGGGCGCUGGGCCCUUCCCUGUGGUGUCCGUGCCAACUCUGGGCAGUUUCAGAGGUGAAUAGAAUUGUAGGACACCCAGCUGGGGUCCGAAGGAAAAUGGAUCAUUGUUGGGUGUGGAAAAGCCACACGAUGGGUGUCAGAAGCACUAGGUGUAGACAAACAGUCUUCUUUGAGCAAUUGAAACAGUUAUACGCCUUUGGAGCGGACACCUCCUCCUGGCGGACCCCUCUGCUCUGGGCCUUUUCCCAGUUACCCAUCCUUCUCCCUGUAAUCAGAAUUCUCUAAAACACGAAUUAGAUCGUCUCCCUAUGUGCUUAAAAUGCUUGGCGGUUUUCAUGGCUGUUAGAAAAAGGACAAAUGGCCUCACCUGCCCUGCGGACGGAGGCGGGGCAGCUGGUGGGGGGCGGGCACGGAUGUGGGAACACGCUUUGGGGCUGGUGGAAAUCACCUCUCACGUGCUACAUGUCCAGCUUAAACUCCAUGUUCUAGUGCUUCACGGCCUUGACCGUGUGUUCUUAUUACGUACGUCUGACAUAGCAAAGCGGUUACAGUACUUGGGGACUAAUCAGCGUGCCCAGCCAUCUAAGAGUGGCGCCGUUUGCUUUCGCAAGGCUGACAGUGCUGGCAUCUGUCAAUAAAUCCAGUGUUGCCUUGUCAUUUCCAACAGGUGUGCCUCCUCUCUCCACUGGGGCUUUGAUUUCUUGUGCGGGACUUCUAAUACACCUACGUAUGAGGAAAAUCCAUGUUUGCUUCCUGGUUUCAUCCGCCCACCUCGAUGUUGUUGACUGUUGUGGGCUUUGGGUAGUGAGGUCAAUCACAUCCCCUGAGACAGAGACCCAAGGGGAGCUCAAACCCAACCAAGGACACCAUCUCCAGGAAUUGGAGGCAGAGUGGCAACUACUCUUGGUGUGAAAAUUCAUGGAGGGUGUGGACAUGUGUGACCUAAUCAGGCUCUCGGCCAGCUCUAGGUAGUGCUAUUGCCUGUCCCUGUCUUUACAUACUGAUGGAUACAUUUAAGAACUAAAUAUUAGUCAGUUUUAAGCCGGUGGUGUAAGCAGUACAGAAGGAUGGAGAGAGGGUUUCGUGCCUGGGUGACGGGAGAGGGUAAUGAGAGAGGAAAGUAGGCUGGGUUUCUUGCCACCAUCGUACCUCUUCCACGGGCUGGAUCUUUCCAACGGUGUUCCACUCGCUGGAGACCUCAUCACCUGGUUUUCUCCUUAAAGAAUACCUCACUGGUCCCACAUAAUCAAACUCCGUGUGCCCAGAGAGGUGUUCACGUAGCCACAAGCUCCUUUUCUCUGCAGAGUUACACCUGCUGUCUCCAGUGAUGGCAGCAUCUGUGACCUGUCCUGUGAUGUCCCAGGACCUCACACAGUGCCUUGGGCAUGAGAGUCCCCCCCGAAUUACGUGAAAUGAAUGGAAUACGUUCUCCUUUAGAAACUGAUUCAUUUCCUGUCUUGUUCACCUUCAGAGACAUAGCCUUCAUGGAGAACAAAAAAAAAAGUUCUUAUUUGGUGAAGUGACUUUGUUUAACGUGUUCCAUAAGACUGAAGGAAACACCAGUUUUAAUUCUUAGACAUUCUGUUAAAUUCACACGAAGAUCUCUUAGGGAAGCAUUGGCUUUGUUAAAAACUGGUUCAGCAUGACGUGCCGACUGGGCAGAUCUUUUCUUUUAGCCUGCCUGGUUUGCUUCUUAUCAAGGCGGAAGAAAUCUCCUGAGCAUCUUCUCCGUUAAAGCCAUCCUUCUAAUCACAUGCGCAAGGGUGGGUUUUGUGGGCGUCUGUGAACUUGGCAUGCAAUCCUUUCUACCUGUUUGAAUCUUUCCCACUAUUGAGGAAUAUUUUAAGAGGUAAGUAGGUCAAACAUUAUCAGGAAACAAAUGUUUCAUUGCACCACUUUUCAGCACAGGGAGGGAACAGGGACUGAAUUUGGUCAGCCACCACAAAGUGCUCUAAUUUUGUUUCCAUCCGCCUGCCAGCAGCCCCUGGGUCUGAUAAGCUCAUCAACUGGGUCCAGAUUUUCAUUCAUGGGUGGCCCAGGGAAUAAGGCGGAGUUCAGGUGACAGAAUCAGGUGAGGUCAGAGAGAACCCAGGUGUUCUUUGUCUUCUGCGCUGCAGUCUGUGGAGGUGGUGGCCUUGAGCUUGGUAGUCAGAGGCUCAGCUUCAGGACAGAGAGCUGUGAUGGGGCAGCAAAGAGGUCAACUCUUCUGUGCAUCUCUGCGAGUUAGGAGGAUACUCUCAAGAGUACUGCAGAAGACACCCUUACCUCUAUCACAAAAAUCGGAUAAACCGCUAAGUUCUUGAGCUGGGCAUUUGCACGAUUCCAGGGAUUGUCUCUAGCUCAAUCCAAUACCCCAAAUUCCAGAGGAUGGAAUCAGCUUUUCUAUGGACAUUGGGCCACAUGGGGUGGAGUUGGGGAUAAAGGCAUGAACAAAAUCAUGCAUCACGUUGGAAAUAGAAGUGGGGAAAUUCAUCCUGGGAGGAUGUGGCCAGUGUUGCAGUGCAGAUGUCCAGAUGGUGUGUUCGCUUGUGUGGUUGACAGACUAAAAUCCUCAAUGAUACAGGUUCACGAAUGCCAGUCUUUUUUACAUCAAAUCAAGUAGAACUUAGGAAGGUUCAGGGGGAUGAAAAAAGCAUGAUAAAGUUUGUGCAUUCUUUGGAUUUUAUUUUUGUUGCUGAACAUGACAUUUUUAAAAAAAUGGUGCUUUUCAAGUGGCCACGUUCUUGUCAGAAGAAUGGAAAUAACAAAGCUGAAAUAACACUCAAAGCCUUCUGGUUCUGCAAGGGUAUCCAACAUCAUAAUUAUCUCAUAAAAGACACCAACUCAGGAUUUGAAAGUCUUUACACAGUAUCUUCUGUGAUGCCGAGCUUGCCAAAGACAGUCCAUUUGGGUUGAGGAAUCAAAAUAAAGCAUUAUGAAUUCAGGUGAAAGAGACUCAAGGCAUGCCUGGUUUCUCCAAUCCAAACCAAUCAAUGUUUGAAAUGUAAACUUGGAAUUCUGAUUCCAUUUCCGUUGUAGGACUAGGGAAAUGAAGGGAGCAUGCUCGCAUGUUUCUCCCAAGCAAGAUGCAUGUUAUUUUGACACGGGGCAAAUGUUCCCAAAACAUCUUGGUAAUAUAUCCACAUGCAUAAGUAUCAAAGGCUAUUCUGAAUGAGGUACCAAGGUACAUGCAAAUCUAGUUUUCACUAACUUUUUUCUUUAAUUAAACAUCUCUCUUUGGCGUUACCCACCUAGACAAAGACACUCCUUUUGGCAACAUAGUUGUUAACCUUUUUUCUUUUUUUAAAUGAAACAUCUGUCUUUGAUUUGACCCACUCAUAGACGAAGGCACUAUUUUUGGCAAAAUUGUUAAUUUAGGUACCAUGAUUCAUUAGGAGUGACAAAACAUGAUGGAGAAAACUUUCCUGGAAGUUUUGAUGGAAUGAGUAAGGGAAGUUUCAUUUUUAUACCUAUUGAUGUAUGUGUCAAAUUCCCUUCAGGAACCACAGCUCAAUGCAUCCUUUGUCAAUUCUUUGGCUUCCCAUCUGCCCUUGAUGGGAAUAGUAUUUGAUGUACAAUGGAUUUAUGACCCAUCCCAUAAUAUGGUGCCCUCUCUGUGGAGGUGUCUUGUGUUGCUUUAGGAAACCUCAGAAGUGCAGUAGCUACCUUAUUUCCUUGAACCCAAGAAAGCUUGGUCAUAGGACACACCCUAUUCCAUGGUUCUCUGAAAGAAAAAACACUGCCAAUCAAACCAGUGGCUUAAGGUUUUCUUAUCACACCAUUUUUCUUUUAUCCUUAAUUCAAGCAAGUCUUUCAAAUGGAUGUUAGGCCAUAUUCAUAUGUUCAUAAAACAGCACACAUAUAAAGCAAAUCACAUAAGGGGUCCGUGAAAUUUUUUGCAAACUUUAGAUUUUGAUUGUUCACAUCUUGACACCAUGCUAUAAUCUCCCAUGUCUUUAGUAUUUUGUUAAUGUGUCAUUCAUGGUAUAAUCUUCCCUGUCACUAGUAUUUGUUAGUGUGUCAUUCUGGGCUAUGCGGUCACUACCUAUAUGAAAAUACAACCAGGUCCUGAAAAGUGCACACAUCAUUCAUAGAAAGGUCCAGUGAUCAAAAAAAUACACUGUGGUGUGUAUUCCCUUGGUCAAAAAGUUGGCCAUGGCAAAGAAAUUCUCCCUGUAACUAACUCCCCCCACCUUCUUCCAGUCAUGACACAGAUUAUUUUUGGUAAUAUUUAUAAAACUAGAAUCAUAGAAUAUUUUUCUGCAUCUGGCCUCUAAUGCUUAAUGCUACGUUUGUGGCAUUCUCCAGUACUGUUUGCUUCGUGGUGGUACGUUCAUUUUCAAUACCAUGUGAUGGUUUAUGCUAUACAAAUACUGUCAUUUAUUGGUUGAAACUAUCAUUGAUGGAUGUUUGAUGUGUUUCCCAUUGGGGGCUAUUAUAAAUAAUGCUGGUGAACACAAUUGUGCAUAUAUGCCUAAAAGUGAAAUGGGUGAGUUUUCACGGAUAUCUAUGUCCAUCUGUACAUACAUGUUUCAAAGAGCUGGUAUUUACACUCUCCCCCAGCAUUCCCAUAAUAGUCUAUAUCUGUGCUAUCCCACGUGGUGGCCACAGUCACACAUCAUCACUUCAAUUUAAUGACUAAAGAUAAAAUUUUAAAUUGAGUUCUUCUGGAGUUCCCAUGGUGGCUCAGCAGUAAUGAAUCUGGCUAGUAACCAUGAUGAUGUGGGUUCUAUCCCUGACCUUGCUCAGUGGGUUAAAGGAUCUGGCAUUGCCAUGAGCUGUGGUGUAGGUCACAGACAGGGCUCAGAUCCCACGUUGCUGUGGCUCUGGUGUGGGCCAGCAGCUACAGCUCCGAUUUGACCCAUAGCCUGGGAGCUUCCAUAUGCUGUGGGUGCAGCCCCAAAAAGACAAAACAAAUUGAGUUCUUCAGUCUGAGUAGCCACAUUUCAAGUACACACUGGCAGCAUGUUACUACCACACUCGAUAGCAUAGAGGAGAAACUUAACAUUACUCCCAUUAGUGGGAGUUCCCGUCAUGGCGCAGUGGUUAACGAAUCCGACUAGGAACCAUGAGGUUGUGGGUUUGAUCCCUGCCCUUGCUCAGUGGGUUAAGGAUUCGGCAUUGCCGUGAACUGUGGUGUAGGUCACAGACACGGCUUGGAUCCUGCGUUGCUGUGGCUCUGGCAUAGGCUGGUGGCUACAGCUCCAAUUCGACCCCUAGCCUGGGAACCUCCCAUAUGCCGUGGGAGCGGCC